GUGAACUUAACUCAGUUGGUAGGGAUAUUGCAUAUUAUAUGCAGGAGGCCGGGGUUCGAACUCCGGACUUCCCA
This 74-nucleotide transfer RNA is filed under the name Medicago truncatula (barrel medic). Its description in RNAcentral is "tRNA-OTHER". Lineage: Eukaryota; Viridiplantae; Streptophyta; Magnoliopsida; Fabales; Fabaceae. The record is from RNAcentral.